RNAcentral lists this transfer RNA (90 nucleotides) under Candidatus Omnitrophica bacterium CG12_big_fil_rev_8_21_14_0_65_50_5. Its description in RNAcentral is "tRNA-Ser". It matches the Rfam family "tRNA". From Rfam's summary of the family: Transfer RNA (tRNA) molecules are approximately 80 nucleotides in length. The record is from RNAcentral. Lineage: Bacteria; Pseudomonadati; Candidatus Omnitrophota.
GGAGAGAUGCCAGAGCGGUCGAAUGGGGCAGUCUCGAAAACUGUUGUCCGGUUUACCGGACCCUGGGUUCGAAUCCCAGUCUCUCCGCCA